Molecule: long non-coding RNA, 849 nt
Organism: Oreochromis aureus
Lineage: Eukaryota; Metazoa; Chordata; Actinopteri; Cichliformes; Cichlidae
Source: Ensembl
GAGCAGCCGGGCUACGUAAAAAGUGUAGGGGGGGCGUCUUUGUGUCCAGCGGGUGUGUGGGCGGGAGUGUUGCACAGUCGCUCCACCUCAAGUCACUACUGCGCAGACUCUGGCUCCAAAUUUGCAAGAUGGCAGCCUCCACAAGCGGGAUAUUUUGGCUUCAUUUUUGCACAAUGGGAGGAGGCGCUGUCGCGUCGUCCAUGUUUUCUACAGUCAUUGGUCAACAUAUCAAAAAAAUGAUAUGGCAACAUGUUGUUUAGGAAAACGAGGAAGUUUUAGGAGUGAUGACAGCGAGAGAGAGAGAGAGAGAGAGAGAGAGUUUUGAUAUGAAAAUCAAGUCCUGCAGCUGAUGCAGCAGUUUAUUCUGAAGUCACAUUAGGAAGCUUUCCUGGUCAGUGAGGAGAGCUGCAGCAGCAAAGCCAAGAAGAAGCAUUUUAUGAAUCCACUGUUGCUGCUCUGCUGCCCAAAUAUCAGACACACUCACUUUUUUGUCACUUUUGUUAAGAUGCCAUUAAAUAAUAAUAUGACAUAGAUAUAGUAUCGGUGGUGUCCUGUGACUUGUACAGUAAUGCAAGCAGAGACGAUGUUUGUAGUCUCUGUGAGGACCAGCUUUCUAUGAAAACUAUAAUUAAACUAAAAAAAGUUGUUUAUAAGGUCAAAAAUAAGGUCUACUGGUGAUUUAAAAAGUAAAUAAGAUAUAGUUAUCACAAAAAAGAGCUCCAUGCUCUGUGAUCAAAUGUUUGUGCAUGUUGGAGGUAUUUUCCCUCUUUGUUGUGAUCAGUGUUGGUGUUGUUACUCAAAGUAAUGAAUUACACUUGUUACACAAAAACAUUUUGCAUUAAAAGUAAU